RNAcentral lists this ribosomal RNA (496 nucleotides) under uncultured bacterium. RNAcentral describes it as "partial 16S ribosomal RNA". It matches the Rfam family "Bacterial small subunit ribosomal RNA", at positions 28 to 506 of the family's 1533-position model. The record is from RNAcentral.
GAUGAACGCUGGCGGCGUGCCUAGUACAUGCAAGUCGAGCGAACAGACGAGGAGCUUGCUCCUCUGACGUUAGCGGCGGACGGGUGAGUAACACGUGGAUAACCUACCUAUAAGACUGGGAUAACUUCGGGAAACCGGAGCUAAUACCGGAUAAUAUAUUGAACCGCAUGGUUCAAUAGUGAAAGACGGUUUUGCUGUCACUUAUAGAUGGAUCCGCGCCGCAUUAGCUAGUUGGUAAGGUAACGGCUUACCAAGGCAACGAUGCGUAGCCGACCUGAGAGGGUGAUCGGCCACACUGGAACUGAGACACGGUCCAGACUCCUACGGGAGGCAGCAGUAGGGAAUCUUCCGCAAGGGGCGAAAGCCUGACGGAGCAACGCCGCGUGAGUGAUGAAGGUCUUCGGAUCGUAAAACUCUGUUAUUAGGGAAGAACAAAUGUGUAAGUAACUAUGCACGUCUUGACGGUACCUAAUCAGAAAGCCACGGCUAACUACGU